Molecule: long non-coding RNA, 681 nt
Filed under: Homo sapiens (human)
Lineage: Eukaryota; Metazoa; Chordata; Mammalia; Primates; Hominidae
Description: non-protein coding lnc-SORCS1-4:2
Source: RNAcentral
UAAAGAGUGCCAGGCAACGGCCAAUGGCUUCUACAAUCCCUUUCAUCCUGGACAGUCCAGUGUUGUGAUACCCUGACACCAAGACCCUUCCUUGGUUGUCUGGCACAGUGCUGCCACAUACCAUCUCAGGAACUUUCAUUUAUUUCCCUUUGUGUCCAAACAUCAGAAAGGCUUUCUGAGUUGCUUGCCAAGGUGUUCUUCAGCCUUCCCUAGGCUAAACUUCUCCAUUGGAUCAAUAGCAGGUGGUCAACAAAGACAAAAACACCAUCUUCAGAAUGACUCAGAUCAUCCUCUUGGGCAGCCCUUUUUGGAUAUCUCUAUGAAAUUCUGCAGCUGAAAGCUGACACGCAUAAUUAUUUCCUGUUAGAUACUGAAGAAAAAAAAAAGCCCAGGAGAUAUUGUCGAGACUGUUUCUGGGGUGUGAUUGGGGGAUAGGAGAUGAAUGGUGUCAGAAUUGGAACAUGAAGUAGAACUUCCAGUAACCCCUAGGAGCAUCAAGUGACCCAGAGAGGUAACCCCCUCCACCAGGGUCCAUUGCAUCCAUUGCUCUCUCACAGCAACUGAGGCUCAUGGGACUGGAGUGGAGUCGGUAGGAAGGAACAGUCUUUGAAGUUAGAUGCGCCAGGUUGUAACCCCACUUCCACCAAUUGGAAUGUACUGGUCUUCUGAGUAUACUGAAUU